GUUUUACCUGCAUGUAUGUAAGUGCACCACGUGUGUGCAAUGUCCUUAGGGGCCAGAAGUGUGUGUCAGAUCCUCAGAAACUGUAGUUAAGGACAGUUGUUAGCUGCCACGUGGGUGCUAGAAACCAAAUCUGGGUCCUCUGGAAGAGAAGCCAGUGUUCUUAACUGCUGAACCAUCUCUGCAACCCCCCACAUGCUGAAUUUUAAAUGCUUCUUUCCUCUCCCUCAGGCCCUGCUCCCAGAGCCCUGGAGAUCCUGUGCAAGCCCAGCCCUACCCUGCACACUCCAGGCUGUCCCUUCUGGCUCCUCAGUAUGGAGCAUUAACAGUCUGGUUUCUGGAUUCUCAGGCUCCUCCUGAACAGGAGGGACGGACAUCUUGGGUGUGGCUUCCUGCCUUCCACAUGUUGGCCUGGCUCCUUGGUUCCAGCCUCUGCAUCCUUGUUCUCCCCACCUCCUGUCUCGCCCUCCCCACUUCCCUGCCGGGGGCUCUCGCACUCUCCUAGUCUGUCUUUCCCUGCACAGUUCUCUCUGUCACUUCUCUCCACUGUCCUGGCCACCAGCACACACCGACAGCUGCUCCUCUGGGAGGCGUGAAGAAGAGCUGGCAGCUGAGUUUCUAUGGAGACAAGGUGGCAGGACCCAAGUCUCUCAGGACACUCCCUACCCACCACCAGUCACCACCUCCAAUGGCUUUCCCCAGCCUCUCAGUCCUCAAGAGACAUCACAUGUGUAGUGCCUCAUUCGUCUACUCAUUGUCUCUGUUCGAGGAUGGCAAAGGACUCAGCUUCCCACCCUGCCAGCACAGCUCAGGUAUCUCUGCAGGGGUGGGGUAAAUAGAAGAGCACACCUUGGUAGUAUAGAUCCUGUAGCCUAAGCUCAGAAGUUUGGCUUUGGCCUUGAGAAAUUGGUCAGUUGCUGAAGAGCUAGAGUGAGAUAGUUUGGCCAGACAUGGCUCUGCCUGCAGGAUGGAGGGUAGAUGUACAUACAGGCCAGAGGCUCAGGUAGCCUGACUCUGGUCAAGGAGUGAGCAGCUAAGAGAGUGGGAGCCUGGAGCUGAUGCCCUUUACAGAGCUAAAAGAGGCAGGUGGGGAUAACAAACAUGCACAGGCUGUAGCAUAAUGUUGGCAGAGUUCAGGGGAUGGAGGUGUUCAGUAGGAUGCUGGGAUGGGCAUCUAGAGCUCAAGGAGCAAGUCUGUGCAAGGGGCAAGUGGACUGGGCAGGAACCUAUAGCCAACAUGGGUCACUGAAACCAGAACUGUGGGUGUGGAUGUGGUUUCUAAGGGUGAUGUGAAGGCAGCAGAGAGGAGAGCUGGUGUUGGCUUUUUUGAAGAUGCUGAUGCUGAGCACAGGAAGCUGAACAGGGGAGGUCACAGAAGAGACUUCCAGAGAGAAAGUGGCCAACAGGCCACCUGCUGCUCAGUCCUCUAGGAAGCCCCUAUCCUCCUUGUUUGACAGGCAAUAAUGAUAAGAGAGCUGCUCAGGGAAGAGCUGAAAGCCAGCCCUGGCUUUAUCUGAUCCCAGGGGUUGCACUGUGUUUCUGCCCAUGAGGACUUGCCUGCAACUCAGCCCUGCCUAAUGCUCACACACUGGUGCCUCACAAGAAGGAGGCCUUGAAGGGGCCAUCUCACCAGGUGAAGCAUCCAUCCUGGUCUUGCUUCUAUGGACCAUGUGUCCAGGAGGCCCACCCCCCACAUAUAUGUACACAAGUCCAACAUGUGUACAUGUACAGACACAUGCACACACACAGAAGGGUGAAUCCAUCAGCCUGGAUAGAGUGGGGCCAGCCAGGUGCCUAGAAGUUUGUGUUUCUGUGAGAGCACUGCCUAGUUCCCACUGCUGGUCUGGGAGAAGGGGAUAAGGCCCUUCUGGGAGAGGGUUCUCUGUGCUAACCCAGGCACCCUCACAGAGAUGGAAACUUGGUCUUAUAGAACCAGCUGUACAGUAGUGGUGCUAAGCAACCUGGCCCUGGGAAGCCCCUCCAGGCUUUCCUCUCCUUUCCUUUGUUAGGGCAGAAAACUCCCUAGCAGGCUUCUUGCUCCUUUAGUCAGUUCCUGGAUCAGUUUCCAGAGCUUUCCAGAGCUCAAAUACUGAGGAAAUUUUUAUUCUGAUAAAUAAAAUUGGUAAUAAACGAUCAGGAAGCAACUAUCUUCUUACUGUCCAUUUUGUGAUCUGAUUGGGAUCUUUUCUUUCCUGUCACAGGGCCGUUGCACAUGCUGCUCCCUCUUGUCAGAAUGCCGUUCCCUAGAACUUUGUUAGUUAAUGUCUACCUGUCCUUCAAACCUCAGGCCAGGUAUGACUUACCAAGAAAACCAUUCCUCAAGUCCAAAUUCUUUCCAGAAUGGAGUUCCUUUCCUUCAGAUCUUCUCCAUGUAAGUGGUGUAUGAACAGAGCCUAUGUGACUGAGUCAGGGCCUAUGUCUGAGCUUUCCCAUUCUAUAGCCUGUACCAAGACAACUGUGUCAACUUGCUAGAUAUUUUCUGAAGAAGUAAAGGAAAAUGUUUUUAGUUUCAGAGGAUAGAGAUGACCUUGGUUCCCACCUAUGGGUUCUAGGCUAAUGGGGUCCCAGCUGCAUCAGGUUCUGGCUUAGAACUGUAAGUGAUCCUUAGCCCUGGCUCAGCUGCCCUUGUGUUACUGAGGAGUAGUUGUCGAACAGGGAGGACAGUGGUCACUGCAGAGGUAAAGGAGAGCCUGGGACACAGACUUAGAAGCUAGGCGAGGAGCUCCACCCUUGCCUCUGCUUUCUUUACUACAGGACUUCUCUGAGCUUUCUCAUCAGACUGUUGAGGCACACUGAAUCUUCAGAAGGAGGGGGCUUCUCUGCAGGUCCCUGAUGUGUUUGAUCUUGAGACUUAUUGAUUUAUUGAUUUUGCAGAGCAAAAGCAGGACUUGUAUGUAUAGGUGAUUCUUGGGAUGGAAAUGCUGACCUAUAGAAUAAAGUCCAAGUGUUUUUAGCUCUCUGUUUCUGUUGAUAAAGCCUGGGGUCCUGUAACUCUCCAUAUCCUCCACCUUUAUGCUUGGUCCAGCCUCCCAGUGAAGCUCACUUAUCCAGUUACCAGGCUAUCUGUUGCUCAUUCUCUCUGCUGAGAUGUCAGUCCUGUUGUUGGCUGCACUCCUUAAGGUCCCUGAGGCUUUGACCAAGAAUUGUCUCCUCUGUGAUGUUCUCUUUUACUUUUCCAGUGUUCCCAGAGUCCCUGGUGCAGCUUCCUAUCAGGACAUGGCCACAGUGUGCUAAGAGCUUCCGACAUAUCUGCUCUCCUUUUAAACUCCCCAGGGUCAAGGUCAAAGUCACAUCUUGUUCAUGGACAGGUCCCCAGUGACCAACAAGGACUUAAAUGCUGAAUGACAUCAAGGAGUCAGGAUAGAAAGUUCUGGUCCUAAAAACAUCAGUGAGAAGGGCAACCAGUCUCUCUUG
Molecule: long non-coding RNA, 3411 nt
Filed under: Nannospalax galili (Upper Galilee mountains blind mole rat)
Lineage: Eukaryota; Metazoa; Chordata; Mammalia; Rodentia; Spalacidae
Description: lncRNA (ENSNGAG00000024433.1)
Source: RNAcentral